Molecule: ribosomal RNA, 487 nt
Filed under: uncultured bacterium
Lineage: Bacteria
Description: partial 16S ribosomal RNA
Rfam family: Bacterial small subunit ribosomal RNA
Source: RNAcentral
ACGAACGCUGGCGGCGUGCUUAACACAUGCCAGUCGAACGGAAAGGCCCUGCUUUUGUGGGGUGCUCGAGUGGCGAACGGGUGAGUAACACGUGAGUAACCUGCCCUUGACUUUGGGAUAACUUCAGGAAACUGGGGCUAAUACCGGAUAGGAGCUCCUGCUGCAUGGUGGGGGUUGGAAAGUUUCGGCGGUUGGGGAUGGACUCGCGGCUUAUCAGCUUGUUGGUGGGGUAGUGGCUUACCAAGGCUUUGACGGGUAGCCGGCCUGUGAGGGUGGCCGGUCAGACUGGAGGUGAGACAGGGUCAAGACGCCUGAGGGAGGCAGCAGAGGGGAAUAUUAGGCAAUGGGCGGAAGCCUGAUACAGCGAUGCCGCGUGUGUGAAGAAGGUCUUCGGAUUGUAAAGCACUUUAAGUUGGGAGGAAGGGCAGUAAGUUGAUACCUUGCUGUUUUGACGUUACCAACAGAAUAAGCACCGGCUAACUUCGUG